GAUGAACGCUAGCGGCAGGCCUAACACAUGCAAGUCGAGGGGCAGCACAGGAAAGUAGUAAUACUUUUGGGUGGCGACCGGCGGACGGGUGCGUAACGCGUAUACAACCUGCCUUCUACUGGGGGAUAAUUCGGAGAAAUCUGGUCUAAUACCCCAUAACAACCGAUGAGGCAUCUCGUUGGUUUAAAAGCUCUGGCGGUAGAAGAUGGGUAUGCGUGAGAUUAGAUAGUUGGUGGGGUAACGGCUCACCAAGUCGACGAUGUCUAGGGGGACUGAGAGGUUAACCCCCCACACUGGUACUGAGACACGGACCAGACUUCUACGGGAGGCAGCAGUGAGGAAUAUUGGUCAAUGGGCGCAAGCCUGAACCAGCCAUGCCGCGUGCAGGAUGACGGCUCUAUGAGUUGUAAACUGCUUUUGUACGAGGGUAAAGUGGGUUACGUGUAACCUUUUGAAAGUAUCGUACGAAUAAGGAUCGGCUAACUCCGUGCCAGCCGCCGCGGUAA
Molecule: ribosomal RNA, 506 nt
Filed under: uncultured bacterium
Lineage: Bacteria
Description: partial 16S ribosomal RNA
Rfam family: Bacterial small subunit ribosomal RNA
Source: RNAcentral